AGUGCUGGGAUUAUAGGCGUGAGCCACCACACCCAGCCAAGAAAGUCUUAAUGAGACCUCGUUGUACCUUCACUCCCUGUUUGGGAAAUGCUGCUGUGUUUAGCAAAUACUCUUGACCACUUUUAUGAAAAAAUUUAUUUUCCCUUACAGCAUGGUACCAGGUGUAAUCUCCCUGAACUGGCUAUGUGCAAGAAGACUUCCUUCAGAGAUUUCAGGCUUCCUCCAAGUCUACAGGUGUAACCAGCAGCUCCGAAGAGACAGUAACCAUCAAGAACAGGCCAUAAUGAAGAUGGCGGUUUUGUCAAAAGAAAAGGGGGAAGUGUGAGGAAAAGAAAAAGAGAUCAGAUUGUUACUGUGUCUAUCUAGGAAAAGGAAGACAAAAGAAACUCCAUUUUGAUCUGUACUAAGAAAAAUUGUUCUGCUUUGAGAUGCUGUUAAUCUGUAACUCUUGUCCCAACCCUGUGCUCGCAAAAACAUGUGCUGUAUUGACUCAAGGUUUAAGGGAGGGCUGUGCAGGAUGUGCUUUGUUAAAAAUGUGUUUGCAGGCAGUAUAUUGGUGAAAGUCAUCGCCAUUCUCCAUUCUCUGUUAACCAGGGACACAAUGCACUGUGGAAGUCUGCAGGGACCCCUGCCCAAGAAAGCCUGGGUAUUGUCCAGGUUUCCCCCGACUGAGACAGCCUGAGAUAUGGCCUCAUGGGAAGGGAAAGAACUUACAGCCCCCCAGCCCUACACCCGUAAAGGGUCUGUGCUAAGGAGGAUUAGUGAAAGAGGAAGGCCUCUAUGCGGUUGAGAUAAGAGCGUGGCAUCUGUCUCCUGCACGUCCCUGGGAUUGGAUGUCUCAGCAUAAAACCGACCAUAUAUUCUAUUCUGAGACAGGAGAAAACCACCUUAUGGCUGGAGGUGAGACAUCAUGGCGGCAAUACUGCUCUGUUACUCUUUACUGCACUGAGUUGUUUAUGUAAGCUUAAACAUAAAUCUAGCGAUUGUGCACAUCCAGGCACAGCACCUUUUCUUAAACUUAUUUAUGACAGAGUCUUUGCUCACAUGUUCCUCUGCUGACCCUCUCCCCACCUUCACCCUAUAGCCCCGCCACACUCCCCUCGCAGAGAUAGUAAAGAUAGUGAUCAAUAAAUAUGGAGGGAACCAGAGACCAGUGCCAGUGCAGGUCCUCACUUGCUGAGUGCCGGUCCCCUGGGCCCACUUUUCUUCCUCUAUACUUUGUCUCCGUGUCUUAUUUCUUUUCUCAGUCGCUCGUCUCCAUCUUGCGAGAAAUACCCACAGGUGUGGAGGGGCAGCCUCCCUUCAAAAAUGCAUUAAAGACUUAAAUGUACUCCAAACUGUAGAACUACUAGAAGAAAACAUGGGGAAACACUCUAGGAUAUGGGUCUAGGCAAAGACUUUAUGACUAAGACCUCAAAAGCACAGGCUACAAAAACAAAAAUAGACAAAUGGGACUAUUUUAAACUAAAAAGUUUCUGCACAGCAAAGGAAACAACAGAAUGAAGAAACAACCUGUUGAAUGGUACAAAAUAUUUGCAAACCAUUCAUCUAACAAGGGAUUAAUAUCCAGAAUAUACAUGGAACUCAAACAACUCAACAGCAAAAACAAUUCCAUUUUUAAAAGCGGGCAAAGGAUCUGAACAGACAUUUCUCAAAAGAAGACGUACAAAGGCCAUCAAGUAUAUGAAAAAAUGCUCAAUAUUACUAAUCAUCAUAGAAAUGCAAAUCAAGGCCAGGCUUGGUGGCUCAUGCCUGUAAUCCCAGCACUUUGGGAGGCCAAGAUGGGCCUGAGGUCAGGAGUUCAAGACCAGCCUGGCCAACAUAGUGAAACCCCGUCUCUAUUAAAAACACAAAAUUAGCCAGCGUGGUGGUACACGCCUAUACUCCCAGCUACUCAGGAGGCUGAGGCAGGAAAGUCGCUUGAACCCAGGAAGCAGAGGUUGCAGUGAGCUGAGAUCGUGCCAUUGUACUCAUUGUACUCCAGCCUGGGCAACAAGAGAGAAACUCUGUCUAAAAAAAAAAGAGGGGGGGGAAUCAAAACCACUAUGAGAUAUUGUCUCACCCCAGUUAGAAUGGCUACUAUGAAAAAGAUUAAAAAAAAAAAAAAAAAAAAACAGUUGCUGGUCAGGAUGCAGAGAAGAGGAAACUUACACACCGUUGGUGGGAAUGUAAAUUAGUACAGCCAUUAUGGAAAACAGUAUGGAGAUUUCUCAAAAAAACUAAAAGUAGAACUACCAUGCGAGGUAGCAGUCUCACUACUGAGUAUUUAUCCAAAGGAAAGGACAUCAGUAUAUCAAGGGAUAGCUCCACCCAUAUGUUUAUUGCAGCACUAUUCACAAUAGCAAAGAUAUUGAAUCAACUUUGUGUCCAUCAGUGGAUGACUGAGAAAGAAAAUGUGAUAUAUAUACAUAAUGGAAUAUUAUGUGGCAGUAAAAAAGACUGAAAGCUGGGCAUGUUGGCUCAUGCCUGUAAUCCCAGCACUUUAGGAGAUCAAGGUGGGAGGACUGUUUGAGGCCAGGAGUUCGAGACCAGCCUGGGCAACACAGUGAGACCACGUCUCUACAAAAAAUAAAAUAAAAAAUUAGCUGAGCAUGGCAGCUUGUGCCUUUAGUCCCAGCUACUCAGGAGACAGAGUCAGGAGGACCACUUGAGCCUAGAAUUUCAAGGCUGCCGUGUGCCAUGACUGCACCACUGCACUCCAGCCUGGGCAACAGAGCAACAGCCCGUUCAAAAAAAAGGUGGGGAGACAGGGCGCAGUGGCUCACGCCUGUAAUCCCGGCACUUUGGGAGGCCGAGGUGGGCGGA
This 2805-nucleotide long non-coding RNA is filed under the name Homo sapiens (human). RNAcentral's name for it is "HSALNT0266551". The record is from RNAcentral. Lineage: Eukaryota; Metazoa; Chordata; Mammalia; Primates; Hominidae.